RNAcentral lists this ribosomal RNA (401 nucleotides) under Anomaloglossus baeobatrachus. RNAcentral's name for it is "LSU rRNA". It matches the Rfam family "Bacterial large subunit ribosomal RNA", at positions 1816 to 2422 of the family's 2925-position model. Lineage: Eukaryota; Metazoa; Chordata; Amphibia; Anura; Aromobatidae. The record is from RNAcentral.
GCCUCUUGAUUAAACCAUAAGAGGUCCAGCCUGCCCAGUGACAUUGUUCAACGGCCGCGGUAUCCUAACCGUGCGAAGGUAGCGUAAUCACUUGUCCUUUAAAUGAAGACUAGUAUGAAUGGCCCCACGAAAGCUAUACUGUCUCCUUUUUCUAAUCAGUUAAACUAAUCUCCCCGUGAAGAAGCGGGGAUAAACAUAUAAGACGAGAAGACCCUAUGGAGCUUCAAACAACUGAAACACUUGUAUAUCCUCCCUCACCUGCCAACAUUUAACCUCACAUUUUGUUUCUAGUUUUAGGUUGGGGUGACCACGGAGAAAAAACUAACCUCCACGACGAAAGAGACAUCUCUAAACAAAAAGCUACAUCUUUAUGUAUUAACACAUUAACCUUUAUUGACCCA